GUAUUGACUUUUAAAAGUUAUCGUCUGCCAGGCGGUGGUGGCGCAUGCCUUUAAUCCCAGCACUCGGGAGGCAGAGGCAGGCGGAUUUCUGAGUUCAAGACCAGCCUGGUCUACAAAGUGAGUUCCAGGACAGCCAGGGCUAUACAGAGAAACCCUGUCUCGAAAAACCAAAAAAAAAAAAAAAGUUAUCGUCUGAGCUUCUCACACACACACACACACACACACACACACACACACUAAAUAAAAAUCUUAAAAACAGUCUUAAGCAUAAGCAAACUCCCAGCCAAUUCUUUUGUCUCUGGCCCUCAUCUUCUUUUGUCUCUGGCCCUCAUCUUCCACAGCACAGCCGGGCUCACAGACACUGACUUGUUUCUUGGAUUCCAGGAGCUCAGACUGAACUGAGGCUAGCAGGCUCUUUCGGCGAGAUGUCUUCCUACAGAUCUGCAGAUAGAGCUGCUGUCCUGUUCCAGUUCCAGAUGAGGGAACUGAGGCACAGGAAAGAUCCCAGCUAGAUAGUGACAGAUGAGGCCAGGGCCAGCCCUAGGCUACUCCCUACCAGCCUAGCACCUUCCUUCACACCUCAUUAGGCCAGUUACCUUCCCUGUAGUUGCUGAAGUAUUUGAGUCCUUGAUACAUCAGAACCAGGGGAAGCUCCACUCCCUGUGAGCAGUGGUGAGCCUGAGAAUGGAUUCCUAGCAAGUGCCUAGGUGAUGCUGAGAUGCUAGUCUGUUUCUCAGUGAACCUUCAUGAGCAUUCUAAGGUCCAGAAUCUAGAAUGCCACUGGGCUUCAGGAAACAGCUUGAGAAACACCUUGCCUGGUGUAAUAGGGUAACUAUGGCAACGACUAACUCAACACCACAUUGAAUGUGAAGUGAAUAAGCUGAGGAGAUAGCUCAGCUGGCAUCACCCAAGUUCAGUGCCCAGAAGCCAUGUAAAAGGUCGAGUAUGGUGGCAUGCCCUUUAACGCCAGCGCUGGGAAGGCAGGCACAGGAGGAUCUCUGGGGCUUCCUGGCCAGCCAGUCUCACCCAAGGUAUUUCCAGACCAAAGAGAAACCCUGUCACAAAAAUAAGGCAAGUAUCAUUCCUGAGGAACACCACCUUCACAUCCAUGUGCACACACAUGGAUGCUCUCAUGUACGUGCAUAUAUACU
This 1151-nucleotide long non-coding RNA is filed under the name Mus musculus (house mouse). RNAcentral's name for it is "long non-coding RNA chr1:118611527-118612678". The record is from RNAcentral. Lineage: Eukaryota; Metazoa; Chordata; Mammalia; Rodentia; Muridae.